CUGCCUCCAUGUUAGUGCAGGAACAGCUGGCAGCCGGCCAUGUAGAGCCCUCAACCUCACCAUGGAAUACUCCUAUUUUUGUUAUCAAGAAAAAAUCAGGCAAAUGGCACCUUUUACAAGAUUUUCACGCCACUAAUAAAGUUAUGCGCCCGAUGGGAGCACUACAGCCAGGCAUUCCCACACCAGUGGCUAUUCCCAAAAACUAUUGUAAAAUGGUUAUCGACUUAAAAGAUUGCUUUUUUACCAUUCCUUUACAUCCUGAGGAUAGACCCUAUUUUGCCUUUAG
RNAcentral lists this small RNA (286 nucleotides) under Marmota monax (woodchuck). The record is from RNAcentral. Lineage: Eukaryota; Metazoa; Chordata; Mammalia; Rodentia; Sciuridae.